This 269-nucleotide long non-coding RNA is filed under the name Nicotiana benthamiana. Its description in RNAcentral is "long non-coding RNA (NBEN_LNC040870)". Lineage: Eukaryota; Viridiplantae; Streptophyta; Magnoliopsida; Solanales; Solanaceae. The record is from RNAcentral.
GAACCCGGGUUUCUAGACCCGAAAGCAUCGAGUCCCAAAGACAUCGUUCGAUUAUCAAAUGAAAACUCGCUGAAACUGAAACGUAAAACUGGAGCUGCCAGAAAAAACUGGAACACUGUAGCUGCCGGAAAAAGCACUUUAGCUAUCGGAAAAAAUUCAAAGUUUUCGGAAUUGAAAAAUAAAAAUAUGGAUAGGCUCGGAAUUUGAGGGGGGUCAGACUGUCCUGAAGGAAGUUUUUGAAAUUCUGGCCGGAAAAGUCACUGUAGUCA